Molecule: ribosomal RNA, 117 nt
Organism: Nitrospina gracilis 3/211
Lineage: Bacteria; Pseudomonadati; Nitrospinota; Nitrospinia; Nitrospinales; Nitrospinaceae
Source: Rfam
CCCGGUCUUGAUAGCGAAGGAGAUACACCCGUUCCCAUUCCGAACACGGAAGUUAAGCCCUUCAGCGCCGAUGGUACUGCAUGGGGGACCGUGUGGGAGAGUAGGUCAACGCCGGGU